Molecule: ribosomal RNA, 501 nt
Filed under: Shigella sonnei
Lineage: Bacteria; Pseudomonadati; Pseudomonadota; Gammaproteobacteria; Enterobacterales; Enterobacteriaceae
Description: partial 23S ribosomal RNA
Rfam family: Bacterial large subunit ribosomal RNA
Source: RNAcentral
GGAGCGUUCUGUAAGCCUGCGAAGGUGUGCUGUGAGGCAUGCUGGAGGUAUCAGAAGUGCGAAUGCUGACAUAAGUAACGAUAAAGCGGGUGAAAAGCCCGCUCGCCGGAAGACCAAGGGUUCCUGUCCAACGUUAAUCGGGGCAGGGUGAGUCGACCCCUAAGGCGAGGCCGAAAGGCGUAGUCGAUGGGAAACAGGUUAAUAUUCCUGUACUUGGUGUUACUGCGAAGGGGGGACGGAGAAGGCUAUGUUGGCCGGGCGACGGUUGUCCCGGUUUAAGCGUGUAGGCUGGUUUUCCAGGCAAAUCCGGAAAAUCAAGGCUGAGGCGUGAUGACGAGGCACUACGGUGCUGAAGCAACAAAUGCCCUGCUUCCAGGAAAAGCCUCUAAGCAUCAGGUAACAUCAAAUCGUACCCCAAACCGACACAGGUGGUCAGGUAGAGAAUACCAAGGCGCUUGAGAGAACUCGGGUGAAGGAACUAGGCAAAAUGGUGCCGUAACU